UUCAAAAUGUAUAAAAGUGUUAAUAGCUACAAUAUUAUGUGUUAUUUAAUCACAAAAUAUGCUUAAUAUUAUAGGGCUGAUGCCAAGAUGACUUUUUUAAACGUGAUAUGCAAUCAAGAAGUAUCUACCUAUAUAGCGUAUAGAGUGGGUUUUAAUUGCAAAUGUUAGAUGUAGUAUUUUGAGAAAAAAUAGAAAAUAAGAGUCAAUUCAGCACCUGCUACGUAGAAAAAGUAAACUCAUACAAUAUGCUGAGUGAGUGUGAUUCUUUUAACACGUGUAAAUGUGGAUUACAAUUCAGUAUUUAUUUACAAUCACCUACUUUUUAAUUUCUAUUACCUAUGGUCGAGUCGUCACCGAGUCGUAUUUAGCUCCAGGCGGUAGCGCCGACCACGGGUCAUUAUGAUAGACGACCCGCACCGACGGCACCGACCCACGUACUGAAUUAAUGUCCCCGGGGACGGUCGAGUACAACUACCGAACGCCGACAGCGUGACUACACACCGAAAAUAGUCAUACCUCACAAGCAUACAUAAGGUCACUUGCAAGUCCUGGUGCUGGGUUACACGGGUGGGUGACCGCUCUCCCUUGCUACUUUUCACGAGACGUCUCCGUCAAAGAUUGGACGUGAUUCGUGGAGUCGUGCUAAUCCACCCCUGCAAACUUAGGGGGUGUGAAAUACCGGCUCUCCGUAGUGUCUAACGAGUCUCUACGAGGUCCCGGGGAUACGGUUUUCACACGUCGCUGACACUGGAACGCAAGACGGAUAUUACCACCUCACGAUUUAUAUGGACCGAGUUCAAAGGUUUUAUUUUAAUUAACGAUAGGUACUGUAGAUAUAUUCCUCAAACGCAAAAAUACUCAUCCUUCCAUUUUGUUUUUGAGGCACCUACAGUCACGGUUAUAGUAAUUGCAGUGUAAACACGAUGGGACCUAUUGCUGGCUGGUGAACAUCCCUUCACGAAUGAUGCACAAUCACGUUUGGCAGUGUCAAGAGUUUAAACUUUGAAAUUGGGGAGGGAUCAUCGCGUAUUGAAAUGGAUCUACCGAGCUAUCAAACUACCAAAUAAGGGUGUAUACCUUAGUCUACAAUAGAGUAUAUAAUAAUCGUGAAGUAAAAAGGGCAAAAUAGCAAAAUGAUAAAAAUGGUGAAAUUCAAAGCAAAUACCAUUUAGGGCGGAUUAAUGAAAAAUAAGAGAUACAUUGCUGUGAUAAUGAUGUGCACUUCAAUUUCUUAUAGGAAAAGUAUGCUUAAACAAAUUAUAUGUAAUUAUUGCAAAAAAAGUGACAGAUAAUAUUUGAGUCGAGUAUCAAAAAAUUAGUUUAUUCCAUAGUUUUAUAUCCUACAAUUUACAAGACCAUUAAAAUCGUACGUCAAACUAAAAUGGGACUUCAACCAUCGGAUUCGUAAAAAUAAAUGGUUUUUCCGUCAUUAUUGAUCUGAAAAGUAAUCAUACUGUAUACCAGAUGCCAAUCAUCUAAUGAGAUGAUGAAUUAUUGCAAUAAUAUUUGACCGAAACGGCGGGUUGAAAACUGCGUGAAAGGAGGAAAAAAUUUUCUAACUGAUUUUACUCCAUUUUCACGCUGCAUUAGAUAUUGUUGAUUUAAUCAAUUCAGUAUAGAGAUAUCUAUUGGACCGUUUAUAGAAACUGAACCGAAGAAUAAUUAAUUUCUGUAAAUUAUGUAAAUAUUAACUCAUUUCAAAUUCUAAUAUUAAUAAUUGCAUACAUUUUUAAUACAUCUGAAAUAUGAAGACUUAAGGUAGUAAAUGGAACCAACUACUAGAUGGUGGGUAGACUACGAGAUGGUUUAUAGGAAGAAAUAUUGUUAACAAUUUGUUAAUUGUUAUGGUAGGUAAAAUGACAGAGGACAUUGAAUUGGAGAAACACCAGGAGCACAAUAAAUUAAGCGUAACAUUAUCAAAUGUAAAUUUUACAGUAUAUAGGCCACAAGUCAUUCUCAAGACAAAAUAUGAUAAUAGAAGAUUGAAAAUACCGAAAGAUGAAAUUUCCCGUUGACAGAAAAAAAAUCAAUUGAAGGAUCGUGUAUACAAAAGAAAAAUUAACAAUUUACAAUCCGUCAUGAGGUUAAGUAUGAAGAAUUACUUCAAUAUUCAUACGUACAAUUUAAUCCUCAUCUUU
Myzus persicae (green peach aphid) is the source of this 2138-nucleotide long non-coding RNA. RefSeq lists it as uncharacterized. The record is from RefSeq and is a predicted model, not a curated record. The transcript has 4 exons. Lineage: Eukaryota; Metazoa; Arthropoda; Insecta; Hemiptera; Aphididae.